This 1252-nucleotide long non-coding RNA is filed under the name Acanthaster planci (crown-of-thorns starfish). RNAcentral's name for it is "uncharacterized LOC110990851, transcript variant X2". The record is from RNAcentral. Lineage: Eukaryota; Metazoa; Echinodermata; Asteroidea; Valvatida; Acanthasteridae.
GGGAAGUCGCCAAGACGUUCACAUUGUUCACGUUGAAACCCAUGCAAGCCGACGUGUCGGGGCAUCACAGAUCUCUUGCAGAACGCAGUAUCAUCGUAUGGUUUGCCUCCAUUCAAGGGCUGAAGAUCAUUAAGGGAUCGCCCCGUCAAAGUGAAACUUACACUGCAGGACUCGAGCUUCAGUGUUAACAAAAGUCAGGCAAACCUGCCUUUUCUUCAGGAUGUGCAGGGAACUCAUUGGAGGGAUAGUAGCCUUGCUGGUUGUUCAAAUCGGUGCGCCCGCAGUAGGAUGUACGGCGUACGGUAUACAACCGGGCUCCUUAGCGGAUACACUGAUGAAGUUUUCCGACAUCAUAAACGGGAUAAGUUUCGGAUGGUCGUUAUGGAUUGCUGAAGCACUUGGAGCUGCAUGCCGGUCCAUAGCAUCUGAAGGCUUUACUGUUAAGAGUGGCUUGGUAGUUUUCGUUGCUGGUUGUAUGAUCUUCGCAGCAAUAAAAAAAUUCUUCCAAUGUCUCGGAAUAAUCGAGAAGUAAUUAUCCACGGGAGUUUUUAUAAACCUAGAAAGCCUUAAAAUAGAUUUUCUUUCACGUUUAAAAAAGCUUAUUUUAGGUCGAAAAGUACAGGUGGUAAAAAUAUGAUACAUUUUUCAUAAGUCGGCAAUUAAAUUUCAAAUGCUUUCCGGUGAAUCGAGAAAAAAAGUUACAUUUUCCGACGACGCGCCUUUCAAUAAGGGGUCUCCUUUUCCAGGGGAACAAUUUCUAUAAAUAUGUAUCUUUAUCUCAUAAUGACUGCUAACUGGCACUGAUAUGGAUAUUGAUUAGUACAUAGCUGUGGGUGUUCCAUGCACAUGGAGCUGCGCUGUAAGCAGUAAGCCAUAGCCUUUUGGUCAUAUGCAGUACUGUAGCCGCAUUUACGUUGAGCCUCGCUUCGAACGUCGAUCUUCUGCAGUGUUGUAUCCAACUCGUACUUGUCGAAAAAAAAGAGCGGGGAAAAACGGCGGUUGUUUAAACGCUGAUUUUCUGUUGAAGAUGCAUGAUCGGAUAUUUCAAGGUGAUGGUUCAUCCAUUUUUUAAAAUUCUGAAUGCUAUACAAUUAGUUUGUUUUGAUUUGCUUCCAUACAAUUUACCACAAGCCUGAGUAGUAUUUGUAGAGGUUAGUCCUUUUUUUUAUAGUUAUGUUCUUACGUAUAUUUUGCUAAGCAUAAACAUAGGUCUUAAAUGAGUAAAUAACAGUUUCAAACAUGUUACAUUUAA